GGGGUCCUACGGGAGGCAGCAGUGGGGAAUAUUGCACAAUGGGGGAAACCCUGAUGCAGCAACGCCGCGUGAGUGAGGAAGUAUUUCGGUAUGUAAAGCUCUAUCAGCAGGGAAUAGAAAAGAAGGUAUCUGAAAAAGAAGCCCCGGCUAACUACGUGCCAGCAGCCGCGGUAAUACGUAGGGGGCAAGCGUUAUCCGGAUUUACUGGGUGUAAAGGGAGCGUAGACGGCCAUGCAAGCCAGGGGUGAAAGCCCGGGGCCCAACCCCGGGACUGCCCUUGGAACUGCAUGGCUGGAGUGCGGGAG
This 305-nucleotide ribosomal RNA is filed under the name uncultured bacterium. Its description in RNAcentral is "bacterial SSU rRNA". It matches the Rfam family "Bacterial small subunit ribosomal RNA", at positions 333 to 654 of the family's 1533-position model. The record is from RNAcentral.